This 93-nucleotide ribosomal RNA is filed under the name Ruminococcaceae bacterium FB2012. RNAcentral describes it as "23S rRNA. Bacterial LSU". It matches the Rfam family "Bacterial large subunit ribosomal RNA", at positions 2831 to 2925 of the family's 2925-position model. Lineage: Bacteria; Bacillati; Bacillota; Clostridia; Eubacteriales; Oscillospiraceae. The record is from RNAcentral.
AGACCCCUGAAAGACUAUCAGGUUGAUAGGCCUAAGGUGUAAGUGCAGUGAUGUAUUUAGCCAGCAGGUACUAAUCGGUCGAGGGCUUGACCU